RNAcentral lists this microRNA (22 nucleotides) under Cavia porcellus (domestic guinea pig). RNAcentral's name for it is "Cpo-Mir-1912_5p* (star (passenger))". Lineage: Eukaryota; Metazoa; Chordata; Mammalia; Rodentia; Caviidae. The record is from RNAcentral.
CUCAUUGCAUGAACUGUGUAUA